AAAGGAGCUUCAGUUGAGGAAAUGCCUCCAUGAGAUCCAACUGUAAGGCAUUCUCUCAAUUAGUGCUGUUAUGCUGCUAGUGUAUGCUCUGACCAGUUUCUUUUUGGAGGUAUUUAGAGCUAUGAGUUUUCCUUUUA
RNAcentral lists this microRNA precursor (137 nucleotides) under Mus caroli (Ryukyu mouse). RNAcentral describes it as "microRNA 3471-1 (MGP_CAROLIEiJ_G0007852.1)". The record is from RNAcentral. Lineage: Eukaryota; Metazoa; Chordata; Mammalia; Rodentia; Muridae.